CUUAUGUGAAAAUUGCGAGAGGAUGCCUUCAGCUGUUGAGUGUUUGUGCUGUAACGAGGUGGACACUAUCAAAUACUUACAACUACGAUAAGAAAUGUAUAACAGAGCAUACUAAACAGAGCACGAAGAUGUCAACGCGGUUGUGAUUUUAAAGAACACUUUGUGGACAGCGUUAGUCGCUCUCCACGAUCGGGAAAGCCGUGGACUUAAAAAAUCCCUAGCACUCUUGAAAUUUCUGUUGUCAUAGUAUUUCCAAUCUUAUUAUUUGAGGAUGAUAUUUUUAGAUCUUAUCGAUAUGCGGCAUACCGCCAAUUCUGUUGGUUUGUUCAUAACCACUUGGGAAAAGGCGUUCGUCGGGUUAUACCAUCUUGUUUCGUGUCUAAGAUACGUAGAGAAUAUCCAAGUACCAAUAGGAUGUAUACUGGCUUCAAAGAAGAUGAAGAAAUAUCUCAAAUUGAUUUUUCUCGGACAAAUGAAGUUGACGAUGAGAAUAUUUGAUUGUAAAUUAAAAACAACAGUCUUUUGCAGGAGAGGCGUUCGAUCGCACGCGCACGUCGUGGCACACGCGUAAAUCGUUUCAGGCGUGCGAUUAAUUAAACGCCUGAAAAAUUAAUAAUGAGUUUUAGAAAUCAAUCCUAUAAAAUCCCAUUUUACAGCAAGCGAUGGCAGCCUUCGAAAUAAUUUUUGGAGUCUCGUCAGACUUUCGUCGGACAAAACGUUGAUAGAUUUCCGUCUUCGCCGAACACUUUUAGAUCUCAGAAUUAUCGAAUAGUCCUGGUCAUUUUCAUCCACGAGCAAGCCUAUUCAUAGCCAACCUGACCAUCCUAGCUAAUUCACCAACUCCUGACUUAGCUAAAAGAACUACGUAGACAUGAAUGUCUUUUGCCUGGCCCCUUCGUCGUUGGUAACCAGGUCUUACACAAGAAAUCCAGCCAUGCGGUUCUUAACUUAUGCGGAGGUGAACACCGACGGAGCACGGAUGAAUCAAGUCUGCAAAACUGCACUUACGGGCGGAACAGACAUUUUAUCAUGGAUUUAAGUGUAGAUAAUUUCUUCAUUUGACAAAACAAUUGGAAACCAUAGCUGGUCCGAA
Long non-coding RNA from Hydractinia symbiolongicarpus, 1093 nucleotides. RefSeq lists it as uncharacterized. The record is from RefSeq and is a predicted model, not a curated record. The transcript has 2 exons. Lineage: Eukaryota; Metazoa; Cnidaria; Hydrozoa; Anthoathecata; Hydractiniidae.